CUCCAUAUUGCUCCAUUUCUAACAAGGCUGACUCCGACUCUCACUAAUUUUAUUUUUAAUUAAUAUUUUGUCUAUAAAUAUUUAUAGUAUUUGCCAACCUCACCGAGAUCAUCAAACAGAAAGCUCCUUAGAAUAGCAGAAUGUUAGACUCGUAAGGCGCUGAGAGAUGAUCCAGCUCAACCCCCUUUUCCGUAGGCGCAGAAGGUGAAGUCCAGGAGGGAAAUGCGCGGCUUAAGAGCACAUGCUGUUGAGUUAGAAACCAAACUGGGACUAUGACCUCAGCUCUAACACUGAGUGGAAGGCUCUUUCUGUUCCUCUCAUGCUGCUCUUCCACCUGAAAAGGAAAAGAAGACCUCCCUUAAUCCCUGUCACACGGCUCCGCGCUCCCAAGAAGAGCCAGCUGACAGAGCCCAGCACCUCUUGUUGCAGGCCUUCUGCACUUCAGGCUGUCACCUGACACUCAUGAAAGGAUCUGGAGAUGGUGGGAGUGCGGAACCGAGCGCCUGAGAAAUGACCACAGGACCAAGAACAGCCAACAAGCUGCUGGGGACCGUCAUUGCACCGGCCUGAUGAUGGGAUAAUUAACACAAAAGCCGUGUCUAGGAGCGAAAGACACAAGCAGCUCUUGGGAGCGGUCACUAAAGGCAGUUUCUUAAAAGCCCUGAGAAGUAUGAUUUGAAAGAGACUGCUUCUGGAAUGUCGAGGCCUAUAUGUUGCAAUACUCAUUUUCUAGUCUUUUCUGGGGUUUAGCUGGCCCUUGUCUUCCAUUCAUGGUAGCACUAAGACCAAGAACUACCUGAGCUCUCAGAGGUCCUGGAGUGAACAGGCCAGUGUUUUAACAACUCAUAAGUCUCUGAGUGGGUGCUGUGUCGAUGGACGUUUAAGCUAAUCUUUCAUCCCCGAGAAAUUGCAUCUAUAAAAGUUGGGUUCUGCAUUUGAAAAACUUGGAUCAGUUGGUUAUCCCAGAAACAAUACCCCCCCACCCCUCCCCGACAAUGAACCUUUAAAAUCCUGGUAAAAACCAGAGUUCUCUUGCAUCAACCUUUUGUCCUGAGUGUUGAGCAGGAAGAUGCUGCCUGGUGGAAGGAGGAAGGAAAUGAGUGAGAUUCCUCUUGUAGAUUACCUCCAAGCUGUCACCAAACCAUGCUGCUCCCUUCAGAACAGCCUCAGAAAGACGGGUGACCUUCAACUACCCAGGACUUCCCCACUAUGCCCCACAUGAAUCCUCACCAUGUUUGCCAUUUAAUC
This 1248-nucleotide long non-coding RNA is filed under the name Equus caballus (horse). Its description in RNAcentral is "lncRNA (ENSECAG00000049626.1)". The record is from RNAcentral. Lineage: Eukaryota; Metazoa; Chordata; Mammalia; Perissodactyla; Equidae.